Molecule: long non-coding RNA, 2017 nt
Organism: Hydra vulgaris (swiftwater hydra)
Lineage: Eukaryota; Metazoa; Cnidaria; Hydrozoa; Anthoathecata; Hydridae
Source: RefSeq, a predicted model, not a curated record
UCUAAUCGGUCAAAAAAAAAUUUUUAGUAUCUUAUAGCUUUUUAUUUUGAAAAUGAUAAAGUUUUGAAUGCAUUUUUCUCACAUUUACAUUUACAUCGUAGAUAAAAUUUGUUUGCAGUAAGUGUAAUAUGCCAUUUUUUAAAAAGCUUUACAUUUAGUAGACAAAGCAAAUGGAUAAAUAUAAUUUAAAUUACGCUCUGUUAUUUGUAAUUUCAAAGGUUAUUUAACUUAUUUUAAAUUUUCUUUAUAAAGCUUUAUAUAGAAAAUAAAACAAUAAGGUUUAUUUUAUUUUAAAUUAAAAGCCAUCAGUAUUACUAAAUAAUAUAUAAUAACAUAUAUGGUAAGUUAAUACAUAUCAUAUAUGGUAAGUUACUAUAUGUCUAAAUCUAGAAAAUUAUGCAAGAAUAUAUGAAAUCCAUAUAGUCUAUAUUAUGGAAAUAAAAGUUCAACUAAUCCUUUACUAGUAGUAAAGGGUUAGUUGAACAAUUAUUUCUAUAAUAUAGACUAAAUGUAUUAUUUAUAGUCUUGUUUAACUUUAUAUUUUAGACAUAUGACAUGUAGUAACAUACCAUAUUAGUUUAAAUCAGUUGUAAAAUUAAAAAUGUUAACAUCUUUGAUAAGUAUAUUUAUUUAGGUUAGUUACAGCUAAGUUUACAUGGCUAGUUAAUAUGAUUUUAUGAAUUGCAAUUUUUAUUAAUUUCCAAAUUAAACAUGUGGCAUCCAAUAUCAUAAACUAAGUUUAUACUGGUGUGUUUAUAUUAUUUUAGAAUUUUUUGUUUUAGACACAUGGCAUUUGUUAUCCCACUAUAAGUUAAAACUAGUUGUAAAAUUAAAAAAAUUUAUAUUGGAACUUCUAUUUCUUUUAACAUUCAUGUUUAUUUAAUUGAGUUACAACUAAGGUUAUAAAUGAGUUAUUUAUACUAUCUUAGAGUUUGCUGCCUUAGAGGCACGGCAUUUAGUGUCACAUUGUAGGUUUAAAUUGGUUGUAGAAUUUAUAUUGUAACUUGCAUAUUUAUUUAGUUAAAUUUAAUCUAAGUUUAUAUCUGAUGUGUUGGUAUUAUUUUAGAAUUUACUGUUUUAAACAAAAACAAAAAAAAAUUAUAUUUUAACUUGCAUUUCUUUUGACGUUCAUGUUUAUAUAAUUAGAUUACAACUAAUUUUGUGUAUGGCUUGUUUAUAUUAUUUCAGAAUUUGCUAUUUUAGACACUUGGUAUAAGCUGUCAUACUAAUUUGCUGUUUUAGACAUGUGGCUUGUGAUAUCCCACUAAUUAGCUAUUUUAAACAUGUGACAAGUGGUAUGACACUGUAUUAAUGUAUGUGAAAUGUAUAGAGUCUUUCAGUUAUCAGAUAAUGUCAAGGAGUUGACAGCAUGGUGUCGAUUUAAAGUGCGAACCUUUGUGCGAGUAACAACAGUAUUCAAAACCAAAACCUAUUUAAACCAACCAAACCAAAACUAGCGACUAAAAUCUAAUAUCUUGGCAUUGGUUUAUUUUAAACAUCUAUUACAUAUAUAUGUGUGUGUUUUAUAUAAAUGUACUAGCUUGAGUAUAGUGUAUUAAAAAUAUUUUUUUAAACUAUUUUUAUUGUAAUUUAAAGUAUAUUGGAUUAAAUAUUAUAAAUAUUUGAUUAGUUUUCAAUAUUUGGUUUAAACGUUUUAAUGUAGAAUAUCGAAAUAAAAUAAUGCAAACAUUAACAAAUACAAAGAUUAUUUGGUUAUGAAGUCACAAUUCUGGCCUCUCUAAUUUUAGAUUUUAGUGAUUUUAACGAAAUAAUCACUAAAAUAACUUAUCAACACAUUUAUUUCAUAGGAAUAACAACCGCGGAAAAUUUGCUACCUAGUGCCUACUCCUUAAUUUUAACAGAUUAUUCGUUGCACUAACGAAAUAAAUCCGUAAAUUCAACGGACUAUUCCUAACGGACUUCAAUUCGUUAAAAUUUUAAUUUGUUAACUUAAUGGAUUUCCCGUUAGUGCAAUAGCGACAGAUACAAUUCGUUGUAUAUAACGGGUUUUUUCUUA